UCUAUGGCUAAUACAUGCGCAAAUGCCUCCUUCUCUGGAGGGGCUGUGUUUAUUAGAUACAAAACCAACCCACUUUUGUGGAGUCCUGGUGAUUCAUAGUAACCAAACGGAUCGCAUUUGGCUUCGGCCCGCGAUGGAUCUUUCAAGUUUCUGACCUAUCAGCUUUCGACGGUAGGGUAUUGGCCUACCGUGGCAGUGACGGGUAACGGGGAAUUAGGGUUCGAUUCCGGAGAGGGAGCCUGAGAAACGGCUACCACAUCUAAGGAAGGCAGCAGGCGCGCAAAUUACCCAAUGAAAACAGUUUCGAGGUAGUGACGAGAAAUAACAAUACAGGGCAUUUUAUGCUCUGUAAUUGGAAUGAUGGGAAUGUAAAACCCUUCCAGAGUAACAAUUGGAGGGCAAGUCUGGUGCCAGCAGCCGCGGUAAUUCCAGCUCCAAUAGUGUAUAUAGAGUUGUUGCAGUUAAAAAGCUCGUAGUUGGAUUUCUGCUGUGGUCAUCCGGUACCGCCCGUAUGGGUGCGCACCUGGUUUGGCUCCGGCUUUCUUCCUGUAGCUGUCCGCGCUUAAUUGCGUGUACUGUGUUACGGAACUUUUACUUUGAGAAAAAUAGAGUGUUUCAAGCAGGCUUGUCGCCCUGAAUACUUCAGCAUGGAAUAAUAGGAUAGGACCUUGGUUCUAUUUUGUUGGUUUCUAGGACCAAGGUAAUGAUUAAUAGGGACAGUUGGGGGCAUUCGUAUUUAACUGUCAGAGGUGAAAUUCUUAGAUAUGUUAAAGACGAACUACUGCGAAAGCAUUUGCCAAGGAUGUUUUCAUUAAUCAAGAACGACAGUAGGGGGUUUGAAGACGAUUAGAUACCGUCGUAAUCUCUACCAUAAACUAUGCCGACUAGAGAUAGGGAAAUGCCUACCUUGGCUUCUCCUGCACCUCAUGAGAAAUCAAAGUCUCUGGGUUCUGGGGGGAGUAUGGUCGCAAGGCUGAAACUUAAAGGAAUUGACGGAAGGGCACCACCAGGCGUGGAGCCUGCGGCUUAAUUUGACUCAACACGGGGAAACUCA
This 1054-nucleotide ribosomal RNA is filed under the name Eimeria zuernii. RNAcentral describes it as "SSU rRNA". It matches the Rfam family "Eukaryotic small subunit ribosomal RNA", at positions 157 to 1217 of the family's 1831-position model. The record is from RNAcentral. Lineage: Eukaryota; Apicomplexa; Conoidasida; Eucoccidiorida; Eimeriidae.